UACGUAGGGGGCGAGCGUUGUCCGGAAUCAUUGGGCGUAAAGCGCGUGUAGGCGGCCCGGUAAGUCCGCUGUGAAAGUCCAGGGCUCAACCCUGGGAUGCCGGUGGAUACUGUCGGGCUCGAGUCCGGAAGAGGCGAGUGGAAUUCCUGGUGUAGCGGUGAAAUGCGCAGAUAUCAGGAGGAACACCAAUGGCGAAGGCAGCUCGCUGGGACGUGACUGACGCUGAGGUGCGAAAGCGUGGGGAGCAAACAGG
This 253-nucleotide ribosomal RNA is filed under the name uncultured bacterium. RNAcentral's name for it is "partial 16S ribosomal RNA". It matches the Rfam family "Bacterial small subunit ribosomal RNA", at positions 524 to 776 of the family's 1533-position model. The record is from RNAcentral.